Molecule: ribosomal RNA, 497 nt
Filed under: uncultured bacterium
Lineage: Bacteria
Description: partial 16S ribosomal RNA
Rfam family: Bacterial small subunit ribosomal RNA
Source: RNAcentral
GGUGAACGCUGGCGGCGGGCCUAAUACAUGCAAGUCGAGCGAACAGACGAUGAGCUUUCUCCUCUGACGGUAGCGGCUGACGGGCGAGUAACACGUGGAUAACCUACCUAUUAUACGUGGAUAAUUUCGGGAAACCGGAUCUAAUACCGGAUAAUAUAUUGAACCGCAUGAUUCAAUAGUUAAUGACGCUUUUGCUGUCACUUAUAGAUGAUGUCGCGCCGCAUUAGCUAGUUGGUAAGGUAACGGCUUACCAAGGCAACGAUGCGUAGCCGACCUGAGAGGGUGAUCGGCCACACUGGAACUGAGACACGGUCCAGACUCCUACGGGAGGCAGCAGUAGGGAAUCUUCCGCAAUGGGCGCAAGCCUGACCGAGCCACACCGCGUGAGUGAUGAAGGUCUUCGGAUUGUAAAGCUCUGUUAUUAGGGAAGAAAAACAGCAUAAGUAAAUACGGCUGUUCUGACGGUACCUAAUGAGAAAGCAACGGCUAACUUCGUG